GGAAGGAUCAUUCUUUUAUACGCUGUCUUCGGAUCGCGACUCGUCUAUGCAUUUAGCAAGUUUUGAAUUUGUAGUUGACUUAGCAUUUAUUAUACCAAUAUUUAAUAGAAUCUUGACGGUGAAUACAUUGGCUUCUAGAACGAUGAAGAACGCAGCGAACCGCGAUAUGUAUUGCGAAUUGCAGAAUUCAGUGAAUCAUCAAACUUUCGAACGCAGCCUGCGAUCAUUGGUCGUACCAUUGAUUAUGCUUCUCUGACAUGUUGACCACUUAUUCAAUCGUGUAGAUUAUUUAUUUACACGUUGAACACUUUUUUCAAUCUUUUGCCCAAAAGAUAGUUCAAACUUGUAUUUUACUGUUAUAUUGGUUUCAAUAACUACGCACUUUCCUGAAAGUAUUAACAUACUGGAUAAAUUUGCUAAUGUCAAUUGUCACUCAAAGUCAGCUUUAAGAUAUCAUUUUUUCUUUUGUGUCAGAUGAAGCAAGGUUACCCCCUGAAUUUAAGCAUAUAAAUAAGGGGAGGACAAGAAACUAAAUAGGAUUCUCUUAGUAACGGCGAGUGAACAGAGAUUAGCUCAAACCUUUAAUCUUUCUCUCUUUGGAUUGAACGAAAUGUGGUUUGUGGAAGUAUAUCCAGAGUGUGGCCCAGGUUCAAGUUCGCUGGAAAGCGACACAAUGUAGGGUGAAAGUCCUGUGAUUGGCUUGGAGUCUGCCUCGUACGGAUAUCUUUCUGAGAGUCGGAUUGCUUGGGAGUGCAGUCUAAAUGGGGGGUAAAUUUCUUCCAAAGCUAAAUAUAUCUAGAAGACCGAUAGCAUACAAGUACCGCGAGGGAAAUGUGAAAAGGACUUUGAAAAGAGAGUUAAAAGUAUUUGAAACCGUCAAAGAUCAAGCAAUAGAUCCAUUUGAUUUUCAGAUACUCGUGCUAGUUUAUUAAUUUUCCUAGAUUUCCUCCAGGUAGCCUUUGGCUCUGUGGAAUUUUUGAAUGUUAAUGAGCUGUGUACGAUGGUCUGGAAUUAUUUUAGUUCGAUUUUAAGAUGGUAUACAUCUUUCGCAAGGGUAGGUGUGUGAUUGCUUGCAUGAUCCCUGAAUGUGCGAUUGAUUUUGCCAUCUGUGAAUCUUAUUUAAUGUAUAAACUAGAUCUAUUGACCCGUCUUGAAACACGGACCAAGGAGUGUAACGCUUGUGCAAGUCUUUGACGUAGUAACGUCGAUUGCGAAAUGAAAGUGUAAACAAAGACUUUCUUUGUCAUGAUGUCAAACCACGUAUUAUGUGGCGUCAGCAUCAUCUGGCUUCUUCUUUUGUGAGAGGUUCGCGAUAUAGCACGACCGAUACGACCCGAAAGAUGGUGAGCUAUACUUGCGCAGGGUGAAGCCAGGGGAAACUCUGGUGGAAGCUCGCAGCGUUACUGACGUGCAAAUCGUUCGUCUGACGUGGGUAUAGGGGCGAAAGACCUAUCGAACCAUCUAGUAGCUGGUUCCCUC
RNAcentral lists this unclassified non-coding RNA (1479 nucleotides) under uncultured fungus. RNAcentral describes it as "sequence contains 18S rRNA gene, ITS1, 5.8S rRNA gene, ITS2, 28S rRNA gene". The stretch from base 466 to 1479 matches the Rfam family "Eukaryotic large subunit ribosomal RNA", at positions 1 to 961 of the family's 3401-position model. The record is from RNAcentral. Lineage: Eukaryota; Fungi.